Molecule: ribosomal RNA, 253 nt
Filed under: uncultured bacterium
Lineage: Bacteria
Description: partial 16S ribosomal RNA
Rfam family: Bacterial small subunit ribosomal RNA
Source: RNAcentral
UACGUAGGGUGCGAGCGUUGUCCGGAAUUAUUGGGCGUAAAGGGCUCGUAGGCGGUUUGUCGCGUCGGGAGUGAAAACCUUGGGCUUAACUCAGGGCUUGCUUUCGAUACGGGCAGACUAGAGGUAUGCAGGGGAGAACGGAAUUCCUGGUGUAGCGGUGAAAUGCGCAGAUAUCAGGAGGAACACCAAUGGCGAAAGCAGGUAACUGGACCAUUACUGACACUCAGCUGCGAAAGCUAGGGGAGCAAACAGG